This 84-nucleotide microRNA precursor is filed under the name Bombyx mori (domestic silkworm). Its description in RNAcentral is "mir-2807 microRNA precursor family". It matches the Rfam family "mir-2807 microRNA precursor family". The record is from Rfam by way of RNAcentral. Lineage: Eukaryota; Metazoa; Arthropoda; Insecta; Lepidoptera; Bombycidae.
UUAACUCAAAUUUGUAUGUAUUUGAAACCUUUGGCUACGUUUACCGCUAGGGACGCUGUUCAAACUGCAUACAAAUUUAAGAUA